RNAcentral lists this small nuclear RNA (306 nucleotides) under Acanthisitta chloris (rifleman). RNAcentral's name for it is "7SK RNA". It matches the Rfam family "7SK RNA", at positions 1 to 288 of the family's 331-position model. From Rfam's summary of the family: 7SK was discovered as an abundant small nuclear RNA in the mid-70s but a possible function has only recently been suggested. Two independent studies have found that 7SK RNA binds the CDK9/cyclin T complex (known as elongation factor P-TEFb). P-TEFb activates transcription by phosphorylating the C-terminal domain of RNA polymerase II. The record is from Rfam by way of RNAcentral. Lineage: Eukaryota; Metazoa; Chordata; Aves; Passeriformes; Acanthisittidae.
GGAUGUGAUGGCAGUCUGGGUGCAACAUCUGUCACCCCAUUGAUCGCCAGGGUUGAUUGAACUGAGCUGGAUGGCUAAGAAUGUGUCCCCUUCCUCCCUCAACUCUCCAUGCGUGUCCCCUCCAUAGCUGCACACUCGGUUGAAGAGGGCAACCUCCUCCAUAGAGACCAAACGGUUUAUUGGACAAGGGUGUACGGUAGCUCUGCCCCCCUGCUAGAAUCUCCAAAUUAGCUCAAGGUUUAUGGCUAUUUAUGCUCUAAUAGCAGUUUCUCUAAUGACUUUUCAGGGAGCUGCCAGAGGUCUAAU